UGGGGAAUUUUGGACAAUGGGGGCAACCCUGAUCCAGCCAUGCCGCGUGAGUGAAGAAGGCCUUCGGGUUGUAAAGCUCUUUCGGCGGGGAAGAAAUGGCAACGGCUAAUAUCCGUUGUUGAUGACGGUACCCGCAUAAGAAGCACCGGCUAACUACGUGCCAGCAGCCGCGGUAAUACGUAGGGUGCGAGCGUUAAUCGGAAUUACUGGGCGUAAAGCGUGCGCAGGCGGUUUCGUAAGACAGACGUGAAAUCCCCGGGCUCAACCUGGGAACUGCGUUUGUGACUGCGAGGCUAGAGUACGGCAGAGGGGGGUAGAAUUCCACGUGUAGCAGUGAAAUGCGUAGAGAUGUGGAGGAAGACCGAUGGCGAAGGCAGCCCCCUGGGUUAGUACUGACGCUCAUGCACGAAAGCGUGGGGAGCAAACA
This 427-nucleotide ribosomal RNA is filed under the name uncultured bacterium. Its description in RNAcentral is "bacterial SSU rRNA". It matches the Rfam family "Bacterial small subunit ribosomal RNA", at positions 355 to 774 of the family's 1533-position model. The record is from RNAcentral.